GAUGAACGCUGGCGGCGUGCUUAACACAUGCAAGUCGAACGGGAAUUAACUUAUUGAAACUUCGGUCGAUUUAAUUUAAUUCUAGUGGCGGACGGGUGAGUAACGCGUGGGUAACCUGCCUUAUACAGGGGGAUAACAGUCGGAAACGGCUGCUAAUACCGCAUAAGCGCACAGUCCCGCAUGGGACAGUGUGAAAAACUCCGGUGGUAUAAGAUGGACCCGCGUUGGAUUAGCUAGUUGGCAGGGCAACGGCCUACCAAGGCGACGAUCCAUAGCCGGCCUGAGAGGGUGAACCGGCCACAUUGGGACUGAGACACGGCCCAG
Molecule: ribosomal RNA, 324 nt
Filed under: uncultured bacterium
Lineage: Bacteria
Description: bacterial SSU rRNA
Rfam family: Bacterial small subunit ribosomal RNA
Source: RNAcentral